UGCCCACUCCCCUAGGGGAGCCAGCGGGGGUCCGGGUGCGAACCCGUGUGUGAGAGUGAAACUACCGGGUGUUUGUGUCUUUGUGCCCUUGUUUCUCAAGAUUGUCGUGAGAUUCGGAUGAGAGAAUGUACGGGAAAACUCUCUAAAUUGUAGAAUGCUAAGCAUAUUUAAGACGCUACUGCCAGUUUGUGUCUCUGUACCCGAGAUUAUGUAUUUAUAUGUUUCUUUAUAUCCACUUGUAUAUCUGUGUUCCUCUCUCUCUCUAGGUUUGUGUAUGAGCCCCUAUUUAAAAAAUCAUUGACUUGUCAGGGCCCGCCAGAGGCCCAGAGCGCCCCCGCAGCCCGCAGCCAGAGCUGCCGAGAUGUCUGUUCUUCCCGCCCACUCCUGCCACCCCCAACUCCCCUCCUACUCCCUUCCGUUGAGAACAAGGAAUUUCCAGCCUGUAGCAAAGGGAAAGAGGCAAAGACAAAGACGGAGACCAUGGGAAACUAUAGAAAAACAUAAAGAGACAGAUCAUACUAAGGAUGUUGGACUUCAUCCUGUGGUGUUACUGGAACCAUAAAGACUCUGGAAACAAAGACUCAUGGCAUGGUCAGAUCUGCACUUAGGAGCAGAGUGGAGGAAGGAUUUAUGGCUGCAAAAACAGUAGGAAGGUCAGCUUGAAAAAUACUGAAGGACCCUCUCAGUUGAAAGAUGGCAAGGCACUGGCAUGGGGGGAAAGAACAGAUUCAAAAUAUAGAAAAUAAGAUCGACAGGACUUGAUUGAUUGGCUGAGGGGUUGAGAGGAGAGAAUGAGGGUUUAGGGUGACUCUCAGGCUCCUAGCUUGGGUGACUGAGUAUGUGGAAUGGAGUGUUCCUUCUCAAAACUCUGGAAUAGCCUUCAUCAAAUAUUCGUGGCCUGCAAAUCCUUUAUCCACAAUUCCUAAAUUUAAAAAAAUUAUGAAAACCAAAAGCUUGACCGGGUACUGUGGUUUAUGCCCUUAAUCUCAGCACUUUGGGAGGCUGAGGUGGGUGGAUCACCUGAGGUCAGGAGUCCAAGACAAGCCGGCCAACAUAGCGAAACCCCGUCUCUACUAAAAAUACAAAAAUUACCUGGGCGUGGUGGCGCAUGCCUGUAAUCCCAGCUACUCGGGAGGUGGAGGCACGAGAAUCGCUUGAACCUGGGAAGCAGAAGUUGCAGUGAGCCGAGAUCGCGCCAUCGCACUCCAGCCUGGGUGACAGAGUGAGACUCGGUCUCAAAACAAAACAAAACAAAACAAAACAGAAGAAAACAAAAAUUAACUGGGCGUGGUGGCGGGCGCCUGUAAUCCCAGCUACUCGGGAGGUGGAGGCAUGAGAAUCGCUUGAACCUGGGAAGCAGAAGUUGCAGCAAGCUGAGAUCACGCCAUUGCACUCUGGCCUGGGCGAUAAAAGCAAAACUCCGUCUCAAAAACAAAAACAAAAUCUUUUUCAUAACAUAUUUGACAAUAAAACCUAAUCUGAACUGAAUUUAUUUUGUGGCAGAACCUGACCUAAACUUACAUAAGGUUAUUUAUAGUUUUCACUUUUCCAUCUUUCACUUACCACAGUAUGAAGUCAUAUGUGUCAUUCCAGAAAUAUUAAUUUGUUUGAUUACUGGGUGCUGUCCUGAUGCAUUGGGAUUGUUGCUUUAUAUUUUGUAUAUGCACCAUACUAUCUUUCAAAAAUCCAAAAAAUUUUGAAACACAUUAACCAUCCAGAUUUCCCACCCCAUUUACUCAUCAGUGUUGGCCUGAGUUCUUUUGGCUAUUUGCAUAAAUCCAAUCCACCUGCAGAUAAUGAAUAUUCAUUGCAUUGUGUGUUAUAGACUCUGAA
Molecule: long non-coding RNA, 1833 nt
Filed under: Homo sapiens (human)
Lineage: Eukaryota; Metazoa; Chordata; Mammalia; Primates; Hominidae
Description: HSALNT0189938
Source: RNAcentral